GUUUGCUUACAGUAAGUAUAACUAUUCCUAUUUUACCAUUUCAGAAUCAAGCAAAACUCAGGAUUGACUCAGUCAAUCCAUGGAGGCUUAAUAGAAUGAGGCAUUUGAAAUAUUUCAAGAAUGGGCAUGAGCAGAUCAGUGAGGAUGACUCAGAAUGGUGUAACUGCAUUAUUUUGUGAGUAAAGAGCUACCUUGGUCCUCCUCCAACCUUUAGAAGUUUUAAAAAAUGAGUGUGAACUUUCAUGAAGUUAAUGCAUUUUGAACAUACCAGAAAGAUCAAACCUUAGCCCACACGUGAGAAUUAAUUUUCUUACAGCUUCAACUACUUAAAGACACCUCUUGUGAUAUAUGGACUCUAGAAUUAAUGCUCCAUUCCCAUGACAUUUUGUACCUUCAACUAGAACACCUACAACUGGCUUUGCCCGUCUUCUGCUUGAGACUGACAUCAUAUAAUGAAAGAUGAAGGAGCCAAUACGCUUCUUAAGAAGCAAGUAGUCAUGAGACUUCACCUGCCAUCACAGAUAGAGAGAGAAAAAAAGGGGAGGGGGUAGUUAGCAAUUUCAAGAGCCACAAUUUACCAUGGAAGCCUCUACUUAAUAUUCCGCUUGAUCUGCCAAGUUUAUAGCCUGGCAAAUCUGAAUACAAAUGUCGAUGCAAAUGAGGAUUCAUUAUUCUUACAAGGUCUUUGUGUUGAAGCUUAAUGUAACUUGGUUCCUAUGGUUGCUCAGGGAACGUAGAUUGCAAGACAGAAAAAAUGAUGAAAAGAACAAAAAUGGAAAGGAAAAUAAUAGAAAUAGAAGGAAAUGCUUAAAAUGCACUUUGGCUUGAAAUAUGAGGAUGCAUAGGAACAAAGCAUUGUCAUUACAAUCUCUGCUUAUUGCCAGUCCUAGUAUUUACUUCUCAUCAGCAACAGAGGAGUUAACCACUCAAGAACAUUCUACACAGACAGAAAACAUAACAAGUCUCCUUUUACUGAUUAUAACACAUUGUUCCCAUUAUAAAACCAAUUCUUCAAAUUGUCAAAUUUUUUACCAUUCUUUUAUAAUUACAGAGCUCAUGGGCUGGUGGGACCUACACAUUCCGAUCUCUAAGAAGACUGCAAAUGCAUUAAAAAACCCCACCCAGCAAUUCCUUUUCUUUCAUAUGGAUUUAUUGCAAAUAAUUCAGAAUCAACAUGUUAAGAAAGCUAAAAUUAAUAAACUACACAUUGAAAAAUCACAACACUUUAGCAUCAUUCAUUUAUUGUUUACCAUAACCCAUUGCACACAAAGGUUGCAAAACCUCCAAGUUAGAGGAAAUCCUGAGAGGCUGCAAAAUUAUGAUUAUAUCUCAUAUACCACAGUAUAUUGUUCCGAUGAAUCUUUUGCAUGGUUAGCUGUUGUUUACAUAUAAAUACCUUCUCUGGAAAUAAAAAAUGUACUGAAGGUAACAGGAGCUGCAAAGCUUAGCAGAUCCGAUGAUCCCAAGAUCAUGCAGUAAGGCUUGCUUCUUCAUCCAUAAAUAAAGCACAUUUGCAUCCAUUCAGUCAAAUUAGCUCCAUUAAAAAGGUGGUUAUAAUUAGCUCCUUUUUCUGGUUCACGGGUAAAAUUCUUGCAUGCCUGCUGUUUUGAUUAAAUCCACCAUUGUCUUCCAAUAGCUAGUGCUAAUUCUUCCAAGGAAAUCUUCAGUUGAGGUGUUAUUUUAUUCUGCACUUCCGUUAGUUGUCUAAUUUACGCCAAGUCCCUGCAGUGUUUCCUUAAGCCAUCCUCUUUGUCUUGCCUUUGAAAUUUACCAAAUCUUACAAGAAAUCAAUACUUAAUUGAUUAUUCACUUUUCUGCAGCUUCAAACAGCAAGCACGCAUAAGAUCCUGGAGUAGUCCCCCGAUUUCCAACGCAGGAGGUUGCUUGGUGGCAGAGCUCUGCAAGUGUCCAACAGCAGGCAUUCCAUGGAGCCGUGCACUGGCGUGGAGUGCCAGCCAGCGUCUGAUAAAGAAAACGAAGAUACUCUAACGAAGCAGGAAAACUUCCUGGAUGAGGCAGAUCCAUCUCAAGGCUUUGGAUAAAAGGCUGAAGCAGGAGCAAUUGGAUACCAGAACACUAUAAUUUUUUUUUUUUUUUUUUUUUUGGCAUUAUUCCUUUUGCUUUUUGCUUACCAUUUUCUUCCCAUGGCACUGAAGUGGAAUAUCCCAAGUGCCACCGAACUCAGAGAAUUCCACGCCGGAAUGGGGGUGGCAUCCUGUUAUUACAGAAAUAUCUUUCAUAAAUUAUGAUUUUUUUCAACAAAUGGAAGUAAUGCAACACCUAUUUCGUAUACUCAUCAUAUACGUUAAAUCUAACAAUGGCAUAUAAUUGAUAACAUCAGCAGGUCAAUCUACGAAUAUUCUGUAUCAUGGCAUUUCUGAGACGCAAUUUUUAAUUUAACAACAUGGAGAAUCUGGUGUGAGAGAGACCUGACUUACUGAUCUGAGAUGCAGUUUUUCAUUGUCAUGGAAUUCUUAAAUUUCAGACAGAUUCUGCAGAAGGAAACCAAAUCUAACUGGGUUCAACAAAUUCUUGAUUCAUCAGAUUUGUUUUAAGAUGUGACUUCUGGCUGUUUCAACAGAACGACACUACCUACAAGUGUGCACUAACUCAGAGAAGGUUCAGACACAGACACUCAUGUGCCGUGUUGAUGAUGUACUCUAAUAUAACCUUUUUGGAGGACAAUUUUUAAGUAUGGUAAAGUCUCUAAAAUGGGCUUAACUAUUCGUCCCACAUUGUCUUUCUAAUUGUUUUUUGGAGACAGGGUCUCACUAUGUCUGCCAAGUUGGUCUCAAACUCCUGACUUUGUCUUUAG
Chlorocebus sabaeus (green monkey) is the source of this 2815-nucleotide non-coding RNA. Lineage: Eukaryota; Metazoa; Chordata; Mammalia; Primates; Cercopithecidae. The record is from RefSeq and is a predicted model, not a curated record.